This 421-nucleotide ribosomal RNA is filed under the name uncultured bacterium. Its description in RNAcentral is "bacterial SSU rRNA". It matches the Rfam family "Bacterial small subunit ribosomal RNA", at positions 355 to 773 of the family's 1533-position model. The record is from RNAcentral.
UGAGGAAUAUUGGGCAAUGCCCGCAAGGGUGACCCAGCAACGCCGCGUGGAGGAUGAAUGUCGUAAGAUUGUAAACUCCUGUUAGAGGGGAAGAAUAGUACCGGUUGGACCGGUAUAUGACUGUACCCUCAGAGAAAGCCCCGGCUAACUACGUGCCAGCAGCCGCGGUAAUACGUAGGGGGCAAGCGUUGUCCGGAUUUACUGGGUGUAAAGGGCGCGCAGGCGGGAUAAAAAGUCAGUGGUGAAAUCCUACAGCUUAACUGUAGAACUGCCUUUNAUACUUUUAUUCUUGAGUUCGGGAGAGAGAGACGGAAUUCCAGGUGUAGUGGUAAAAUACGUAGAUAUCUGGAAGAACACCAGUUGCGAAGGCGGUCUCUUGGUCCGACACUGACGCUGAGGCGCGAAAGCGUGGGGAGCAAAC